This 164-nucleotide unclassified non-coding RNA is filed under the name uncultured fungus. RNAcentral describes it as "sequence contains ITS1, 5.8S rRNA gene". The record is from RNAcentral. Lineage: Eukaryota; Fungi.
CCGAGUGAGAGCCCCCGGGCUCGACCUCCAACCCUUUGAUUAACCAACUCAUGUUGCCUCGGGGGCGACCCGGUCGCGUCGGAUUCCGACGUCGGCGACGGGGCCCCCGACGGACCCCCACACAACGCUGCAUCUUUGCGUCGGGUUGAUCAGAAAAUCAAUUA